Molecule: long non-coding RNA, 481 nt
Organism: Actinia tenebrosa (Australian red waratah sea anemone)
Lineage: Eukaryota; Metazoa; Cnidaria; Anthozoa; Actiniaria; Actiniidae
Source: RefSeq, a predicted model, not a curated record
CUUCUGGAUCGUCUUUCCAGAGGUGUCUCGCUAAUGGAUGGAGCAAUUCUGAUUUUAGAUGCAUCCCCAAGAGUUGUGGUGAUCCUGGUAGUCCUGUCAAUGGCAAAAGACAAAGUUACGUCUUUACAUUUAAGAGGAAGGUGUAUUUCAAAUGUAAUCGAGGAUAUAAGCUUGAUGGACCAGAAUACAGGCAAUGUCAGGCCAACCAGAAGUGGAGCGACAGGACACCAACCUGUAAACCGAUAGACUGUGGUCGUCUGGAAGAUCCAAAAGACGGCGAGAAGGUAGAAGAAACUUCUACAGGCUUUGGAGGUAAAGUCGUGUUUGAUUGCAAGAAAAAAGGCUUUGAAAUAAAGGGAUCUGCACAACGUGUUUGUCAAGAGGAUGGACAGUGGAGCGGAAUCAAUACUACAUGUGAACGUGUGGAGUGCAAGAUUCCUGCAACACCUCUUAAGGGUGAAAAAGAGCCAGAAAAGAAUAA